UAAAUUAAAGAAGAAUGAAAAAAUGGAGAAAAUAGAAAAAGAAAAGAAAAAGUGAAUUAUUACAUCAUCCAAGUGACCCCACCAUGACAUCAUUAAAUGAUUUUAAUUUAUUUAAAAUUUUGACUAAAUAAAAAUCAAGAUAAAAGAGCAUAAAACAAAAAUAAAGAAAAAAGAAAAUUCAUUGUCUUCUUCCAUCAAAAGGAGCCGGCCACCCUCACUCUCUCUCUCUCCAUGGUUUUCACCAUUAAAGCUUGAUCUCAAGCUUUUGAUCCCUUCAAUUAACCCUAAAUUCCCCAAAAUUUUCCAUCAAAUCUUAUUAUCCCAACUAGAAAAGAAGAUUGAAGGAGAAAGAAAAGGAAGAAAUUGAAGAUUUGGAGAAAUUGAAAAUCAAAGUUUGAGGUUAGUAAUCUAAACUUGGAAAUUGUAGUUAAAUGUUUAUGUUCUAGUUUACUUAACUCAGAAAUUAACUCAAAAUCAAAACAAAACAAUUGUUGGGGAAGUAAUAUGAAAUUCGGCCAGCAGUAGGUGGGGUUGGGAUUGAAUGAAUUUAGUGGAUUUGAAUGGUUAUUUGAGGUGAAUUAGGUGUAUAGAUUAUGAAUGUGCGCUUUGAAUGCAUUAGAUUUGAACUCUAUGUAAUUAGGGUUUUGAGCAUUUUGAAAAAUUAGAGAAAAAGUUGAGAAUUGGUUAAUUGGUGUAGUUGACGUUAUUUGAGUUGAGAUAUGGUCAAUUGUGACCAUUUUUGGUGUGUGUGAAUUGUUAGAAAUAAAUUUCAAUUCGGAUUGGUUAGGGUCAUUAUGCAGACAGCUUGACCUAGGUCCCUUUCAAGGACCAAAACUGAAAAUUUACCAACCCAAUCGGUGUGAGGUCAAUUGGGAAUGAAACUAGACACAAAAUGGACCAUUUUUCAUUUAGGAAUCAUGCCCAGAAAGUGACAAUAACUUAGUGAACAAUUAGGCCAAAUCCGGAAUUGGACACACUGCCCAGUACAAAAAUGAUCAAAUGAAUAGUAGUUAUGUAAAUGACUAUAACUUGGUCUAGAAAGGUCCAAAUGACCUGAAUUUUAUACCGAUAGAAAGCUGAGACAUAGCCCUAC
This 1093-nucleotide unclassified non-coding RNA is filed under the name Hevea brasiliensis (rubber tree). The record is from RNAcentral. Lineage: Eukaryota; Viridiplantae; Streptophyta; Magnoliopsida; Malpighiales; Euphorbiaceae.